GGGGGGGGGGUGAAAGAUCUCCGUAAGCAAAAUAUUAGCUUACUCACGAAAUGGUGGUGGAAACUCGAGACACAACAAGGGUUGUGGCAGGAUGUGAUUCGAGCUAAGUACUUGAAAAAAGGUACGGUAACAUUGGUGAGAAGUAGAUUCGGAGAUUCACCGAUUUGGAAAGCCAUUAUGAAGGUCAAAGAGUGCUAUCUGGCUGGAAGAGGGGUGGUCCUGAAAUCUGGCAACAUUGCUAGAAUGUGGAUUGACUCCAUUGCCAAUAAUCCUCCUUUGCGUGAUAGAUUCCCUGAACUUUAUAGUAUAUUGCAAUGA
This 318-nucleotide ribosomal RNA is filed under the name Triticum aestivum (bread wheat). Its description in RNAcentral is "partial small subunit ribosomal RNA". Lineage: Eukaryota; Viridiplantae; Streptophyta; Magnoliopsida; Poales; Poaceae. The record is from RNAcentral.